Molecule: transfer RNA, 72 nt
Filed under: Ornithorhynchus anatinus (platypus)
Lineage: Eukaryota; Metazoa; Chordata; Mammalia; Monotremata; Ornithorhynchidae
Rfam family: tRNA
About the family: Transfer RNA (tRNA) molecules are approximately 80 nucleotides in length. Their secondary structure includes four short double-helical elements and three loops (D, anti-codon, and T loops).
Source: Rfam by way of RNAcentral
AGCAGUGUGGCUCAGUGGAAAGAGCACGGGCUUGGGAGUCAGAGAUCAUGGGUUCAAAUCCCGGCUCUGCAA